CGUGGACUUCAACUCCCAGAAUUCCUAGCCCUUCGCAGGACUGCCCGGGGCGUCUGGGAGCUGUAGUCCAAAACCGCUGUGGGCCCAGGAUCUAGGAAACACUGAUAAGAGGCCAAGCUCCUCCUCUUUGUUUUGUCAUUCAGCUUUCAUUGCCAGAGAUGUAAAUGCUGAGGUUUGUUGUUUUAGAGCUCUCUCCUCUCUAAACUACAAAGGAUGUUGCCAUGGCAGUUAAACUGGGAUGAUAGCGCUAUAAAUGUGCAGUGUGGCAGGGCAAGGCCAAACUCAGUGCUUUCCAUGCGGUUGACUUCCUUUCCUUCCUCGGUCGCCCACUGAACCAGGUAACAGGAUUCCCCCCCCCCCCAGGCAGGAAGCAGCCAGGCUUUGCAGCUGCAAGGCCAUUCAAUGCGAAUCAAGCCGGGCUUGUUGCAACAUCCAACAGACUUCCUCACCGCACAUGAGUUCAAGCAGGACUUACCUGGGUUGAAAAGGAUGGCCCCUUUCAGCACCAGUGCGGCAGAAAGAGGAUUCACGGUGGAAAUAGUGCAAUGUUGACAACUUGGUAUGUAUCAAAAGAUACCUCACAACCUCUGAGGAUGCCUGAAAUAGAUGUGGGCGAAACGUCAGGAGAGAAUGCUUCUGGAACAUGGCCAGACAGCCCAGAAAACAAACAACAACUCUAUCAAAAGAUGGUUCUAUAUUUCAGCUCACCCACUGAAGGGCUAUAAGCAGUGAGUUAUCGGAAGUGGGAUUUGUAGCUGGAGACAUUAAAUUGGUCUCUGGAUACUACAAAAUCCACUCUCCUUGAAUCAUUAAAGCCAUUCAGAAUGGAGGAAAGGUAGCUGUGCACCCUUAAUGUCUCAGGUGCUAACCUGAGAGCAGGGAGCGUCACCCUGUGCGGCCCUAGAAGGGAAAUUACUCACAGAAGCUUCUACGCACACCUCUGCCAAGCAGGGCCAUAAAGCGAUAACAGUAUGGCUGUCUAGUAACCCCGGCAUCUGACAGAGAGGCAGGGAGGAAGUUAUAUUAUCUUGCUUUGAGGCAAAAGGAGAUUAAGCACCAGAAACACCAUGUCAUGGUUCAAGCCGAGAUGGCACUGCCAGGUUCCUGAGUCCUGACAGCACGCUGCUACCUGCUACGCUGAAGGUCAGGAUCCGACCCGCAGCCGAACCCGUAACAAGGACAAGGGUCACUUGUGAUCCUCCUUUCCAUUGUAUAUUUAAAGGCGCCCACAAAUGGACUCUACGCACUUUUUCAAUAUGUCCUGCUUUUUCUGCUCAUCCGAUGUGGGGAGACCCAUUGACUUCUGCCGCUGAUCAUACAUCAUUUUCUCCACCAUGCUGCGUGUUUCACUGUCCAAGUCUGAGAGCUUAGGAAAUGAGAAAAUCCAUGUUUAUUCAUUUAUGCAUCUAAGAAACAUACAUUCUAUUUUAUAGCCCCACUUUUGAAGCAGGAUUACAAAAAUUCCAACAACAAAAGCACAUUAAGGGAUAACAUCAAUAGCAAAAUAAUGUGGCUCUGUCCAGGCUGCCAGUAUUGCUGAAACUGUUUCUUGUUUAUGUUGUUUACAUGCAUUUUAUUUUGUUUAUUAUUUGUUCUUUGGGCUUGGCCCUGUGUUAGCCGCCCUGAUUCCCUGCAGGGAGAUGGAGGCAGGAUAGAAAAAUAAAGUAUUAUUAUUA
Long non-coding RNA from Anolis carolinensis (green anole), 1676 nucleotides. RefSeq lists it as uncharacterized. The transcript is spliced from 3 exons. Lineage: Eukaryota; Metazoa; Chordata; Lepidosauria; Squamata; Anolidae. The record is from RefSeq and is a predicted model, not a curated record.